UCGAGAAUCUUCGGCAAUGGGCGCAAGCCUGACCGAGCGAUGCCGCGUGCGGGAUGAAGGCCUUCGGGUUGUAAACCGCUGUCAGAGGGGAUGAAACCUUCGGGUUGACAAAGCCUCAGAGGAAGCACGGGCUAAGUACGUGCCAGCAGCCGCGGUAACACGUACUGUGCGAACGUUAUUCGGAAUCACUGGGCUUAAAGGGUGCGUAGGCGGCUCAUCAAGUCAGGUGUGAAAUCCCACGGCUCAACCGUGGAACAGCGCUUGAAACUGGUGGGCUUGAGUAAGACAGGGGUGUCUGGAACUUCUGGUGGAGCGGUGAAAUGUGUUGAUAUCAGAAGGAACACCGGUGGCGAAAGCGGGACACUGGGUCUUAACUGACGCUGAGGCACGAAAGCCAGGGUAGCGAACGGGAUUAGAUACCCCCGUAGUCC
RNAcentral lists this ribosomal RNA (431 nucleotides) under uncultured prokaryote. Its description in RNAcentral is "bacterial SSU rRNA". It matches the Rfam family "Bacterial small subunit ribosomal RNA", at positions 355 to 796 of the family's 1533-position model. The record is from RNAcentral.